UACAGAGGUCCCAAGCGUUGUUCGGAUUUACUGGGCGUAAAGGGUGCGUAGGUGGCGGGGUAAGUCUGGUGUGAAAGCUCCGAGCUCAACUCGGAAAAGCAUUGGAAACUAUCCCGCUGGAGGGUCGGAGGGGAGACUGGAAUUCUCGGUGUAGCAGUGAAAUGCGUAGAUAUCGAGAGGAACACCAGUGGCGGAGGCGAGUCUCUGGACGACUCCUGACACUGAGGCACGAAAGCUAGGGGAGCAAACAGG
This 252-nucleotide ribosomal RNA is filed under the name uncultured bacterium. RNAcentral's name for it is "partial 16S ribosomal RNA". It matches the Rfam family "Bacterial small subunit ribosomal RNA", at positions 524 to 776 of the family's 1533-position model. The record is from RNAcentral.